UGCAUCGGCCGGGAAUCAAACCCUGGCCGCCCCGUGGCAGGAGAGCAUUCUACCACUGAACCACCGAUGG
This 70-nucleotide transfer RNA is filed under the name Cordylochernes scorpioides. RNAcentral's name for it is "tRNA-Gly". The record is from RNAcentral. Lineage: Eukaryota; Metazoa; Arthropoda; Arachnida; Pseudoscorpiones; Chernetidae.